Long non-coding RNA from Quercus robur (English oak), 877 nucleotides. RefSeq lists it as uncharacterized. NCBI's taxonomy places the organism in Eukaryota, Viridiplantae, Streptophyta, Magnoliopsida, Fagales, Fagaceae. The record is from RefSeq and is a predicted model, not a curated record. The transcript is spliced from 2 exons.
UUGCUUGUUUGGGGGAAGGACUCUGAAUCUUGGUGCAUUGAGCAUUUUUUAAGUGGGGAAGCAGAUGCCAAGCAACAUAUUGCAGACCAAUAUGAUAUGUUUGACAGGGCCUAAUAAAAAACCCAGAGCGGAUCUCCUUUCUAUCCUUCAUAUGAUAUCCUAAACAUGAUUGUAACUGGUUCUAGGCAGAUGGGAUACUGGUCUAAUUAUUGUGGACUAUCUGUUGAAACCCCGGAGACGCUUUAUAAAAAAUAACCAAACCGUUCUAGUUCAAGUCAGCAUUUGUACAGUAUGGUAUGGCCUGGAGGAACUACAGAUAAGCCUCGUGGAUGGGGUUUUUCCAAACAGUGGAAAGCAAUUAAGAAUCGCAGUUCCAAACUUAGUUACCAGGACUUUGUCUCACGUUCAUGACUAAAUGGCGCUGAUAUUCCAAGUAUAUUGCAUAUAUGUGUUCCUUGUUGCCGCAAAGUUGCUUACUUAUGCAGUUAUAGGUUCACUCUCUUUGGAGAUGGUCAUAAGAAUUCAAGCUUCUCUGAGCUUAUAAAUAAGAUCACAACAAAUGUUUUUGAUACUGCUGUAGGUGACAUUGUAUUUGUCACUGUUGUGUGAAUUCUUGAACAUAGAAUAAAUGGUGAGUUCUGAGGGCCUCCUAGACUCCUAGUAAACUCGCAAUACUAUGGUGAGUACUUGUCAGUUGGUACAUCAUACAUAUUAGAUAAAUUUUUGUAUACAUUUAUAUCAACAUUGCUUUCUAACUUCUGUUGACUGAAAAAAAAAGAAAAGAACAAAACUUGUAUACCUUAGAUGAGUGAACAAUAAAAGGAUCUGUACCAGCAGAUCUUAGAUGGAAUGGAAGAUAGGAAAAUUAUCUCAGCAA